GCACGAGUGGUGGAAUUGGUAGACACGCUAGCCUUAGGAGCUAGUGCCUUCGGGCGUGGAGGUUCGAGUCCUCUCUCGUGUACCA
RNAcentral lists this transfer RNA (85 nucleotides) under TM7 phylum sp. oral taxon 348. RNAcentral describes it as "tRNA-Leu". It matches the Rfam family "tRNA". Rfam says of the family: Transfer RNA (tRNA) molecules are approximately 80 nucleotides in length. Their secondary structure includes four short double-helical elements and three loops (D, anti-codon, and T loops). Further hydrogen bonds mediate the characteristic L-shaped molecular structure. tRNAs have two regions of fundamental functional importance: the anti-codon, which is responsible for specific mRNA codon recognition, and the 3' end, to which the tRNAs corresponding amino acid is attached (by aminoacyl-tRNA synthetases). tRNAs cope with the degeneracy of the genetic code in two manners: having more than one tRNA (with a specific anti-codon) for a particular amino acid; and 'wobble' base-pairing, i.e. permitting non-standard base-pairing at the 3rd anti-codon position. The record is from RNAcentral. RNAcentral also lists the same sequence under 2 other names. Lineage: Bacteria; Candidatus Saccharimonadota.